AUUGAACGCUGGCGGCAUGCCUAACACAUGCAAGUCGAACGAGUGGCGGACGGGUGAGUAAUGUCUGGGAAACUGCCUGAUGGAGGGGGAUAACUACUGGAAACGGUAGCUAAUACCGCAUACCAUCGGAUGUGCCCAUAUGGGAUUAGCUAGUAGGUGGGGUAAAGGCUCACCUAGGCGACGAUCCCUACCUGGUCUGCGAGGCUGACCGGCCACACUGGAACUGAGACACGGGCCAGACUCCUACGGGAGGCAGCAGUGGGGAAUAUUGCACAAUGGGCGAAAGCCUGAUGCAGCCAUGCCGCGGGUAUGAAGAAGGCCUUCGGGUUGUAAAGUACUUUCAGUGGGGAGGCGUUACCCGCAGAAGAAGCACCGGCUAACUCCGUGCCAGCAGCCGCGGUAAUAC
RNAcentral lists this ribosomal RNA (406 nucleotides) under uncultured bacterium. RNAcentral's name for it is "partial 16S ribosomal RNA". It matches the Rfam family "Bacterial small subunit ribosomal RNA", at positions 30 to 526 of the family's 1533-position model. The record is from RNAcentral.